ACAAAAAAUGGAAAGAGUAAGAGUUGGGAUGUGGAGAGCUAAGUUCAUGGUCUAGUUGUUGAAAGGAACCUUGUUUUACCAACAACAACAUACACGAGAAAACGGCAGACAAUUGGGGCGAUGAGGACCACAAUAUUGUCUACAUUCUUCAACAAUCGUGCAUGCGGGAGGAGGGCAUACGUCACGAUCUUCAGUCCUAUGGCAUGAAUUUGGAAUGCAAGAUGGAGUUGAGCUUCUUUCUCCAGUUGCUAACUGUACAUUACGAUCAUAAAGAAGAUACAUAACAUAAAUAAACAAAUAUUUAUGAUCACUUCUAUGUAGCACUUGGUUUAAAGAGAAGAAAAAUGAAACUAACAAAAUAACCACAUUGAAUUUCAAACUACAUCUAAACGAAGAGAAAAUUAAAUAUCCUUCUAUUUUUGUUCUUAAAAAUCCUUCUAUCAAAUUAAAUGAUAACAUGUGUUAUAUAGUAUAUUAAAAUAUCAUUAAAUGACAUUUAAAUGUUACAUAUGUUAAGAAUAUAUAGAAACAAAAAGUAGGAAGAUAUUUGAUUUCUUCUAAAAUGAAUCCCAAAUCAUUAAAAUUCUUGGGUAAACUAUUACAUUAUAGCAAUUUUCAUGUUGGGUUAAUUAAUUGUUUAUUAUUAUGACUCAUAGUGACUAAAAUAAAUUGCAAAUUUAGUCCUUUUAGUAUAUUGUUUUUUUAGAUUCCGUCCAAGUUUCGUUUUGUAUUUAUAUACAAAUCUUGUUUGUUCUUUCAUCGUUUUGAGGUUGUUUUCUUUUAAAGAAAGAUAAAGAAAAGAUAAUUGAUGGAUAAUUUUAACGAACAUCUAACGAGUACCCAAAAUUAGAGAAUAGUUGUAUCGCAAAGCCCACAAUUAUAACAUUUUCGUUGUAAUAUUAACAGAGAUUAUAAUUUUUAUUCACGGUUUUAUGAUAUAAAAUUCCAUAAAUAGUAAUAAAUGGUCAUCAGAAAUCCGUUAUAAUUAUCACGAAUUUAGCUUGAGUUUUUCUAACUUUAUAUAAUAUAUCAUCUUUGGGCGUCUAAAAUACCAAAUGGUCAUAUAACCAAACAUAUGAGAAAUAAAUCAUAAUGUCUUAAAAGUGAGGAAUGAAGGUAAUACUCAAAUUUAAAACAUAGAUCUCAUUAAUAUGUUGAUUGAAAUAUUGAUCCUAACCACUUGAAAAAACACACAAUAUUUACAUUGUUAAUUUUCUAUGCAAUGCCGGAAAAUUGACUCUAUAUAUCAUUCAACAAUUUCGCUUACUGUUUAUAAGGUCAUGUCAACAACCAAUAAUUUUUAAAACCGACAGAAAUGAUCCCUGUUUUGAGAGACAAUAUAAAAAAAUGAUCCAUUAUAAAAGUUUACAUAAACAUUAGAUAUCUAAUCUAAUACAAAAAUAAAGAAAUAGUCCGUCUAUAGGAUUUCUUUUAAAGUUAACGGAAAUCGUUCUAAUUUUGAGAAAAUAUUUAGAAAUUGUCCAUAUCUAAAAAAUUAUUGAAAUGAUUUUCAUCUAACGAAGUUAGAAUAACAAUUUCUAUGUAAGAUAAAGUUACAAAAAAAGUGUCUAUAAUACCGAUUUUUUUUUUAAAUAUUUCAAUUUAUACCCUUUUGUAUAUUAGUUUAUUUGUCAAAAAUACAAAAUAAAAUCCCCACUAGUUAAAAAACAAAGAGCAAGAUAUUAGUUAAUAAAAACACACAAACUGCUUUUAUGCUUUGAACGGCAGAAAAAAAAAAAAAAAAGAACAGCAAACUACUAUAGUUAAAUGGUAAUCCAUUGAUAUGACUCAUCUAAUAUACACAUGAAUCAUAUUAAGAGAAGUUAAAGGAGGUGGCACACCUUCGAUUUCAAAGAGAUGGCACGUCCGGUCAUUAAUAAUAUAGCGAAGAUUAGAAAUUUGAAUGUAACCGCUUUCUCCAUAUCUUUGUGCAAAACAAAA
Molecule: long non-coding RNA, 1941 nt
Filed under: Lactuca sativa (garden lettuce)
Lineage: Eukaryota; Viridiplantae; Streptophyta; Magnoliopsida; Asterales; Asteraceae
Description: long non-coding RNA (LSAT_LNC006908)
Source: RNAcentral